CCUACGGGAGGCAGCAGUGAGGAAUAUUGGUCAAUGGGCGGAAGCCUGAACCAGCCAAGUCGCGUGAGGGAAUAAGGCCCUACGGGUCGUAAACCUCUUUUGCCGGGGAGCAAGGGCGGGGACGUGUCCCGUCCCGGAGAGUACCCGGAGAAAAAGCAUCGGCUAACUCCGUGCCAGCAGCCGCGGUAAUACGGAGGAUGCGAGCGUUCUCCGGAUUUAUUGGGUUUAAAGGGUGCGUAGGCGGGCUUUUAAGUCAGCGGUAAAAAUUCGGGGCUCAACCCCGUCCGGCCGUUGAAACUGGGGGCCUUGAGUGGGCGAGAGGAAGGCGGAAUGCGUGGUGUAGCGGUGAAAUGCGUAGAUAUCACGCAGAACCCCGAUGGCGAAGGCAGCCUUCCGGAGCCCGACUGACGCUGAGGCACGAAAGUGCGGGGAUCGAACAGGAUUAGAUACCCUUGUAGUC
RNAcentral lists this ribosomal RNA (460 nucleotides) under uncultured bacterium. RNAcentral describes it as "partial 16S ribosomal RNA". It matches the Rfam family "Bacterial small subunit ribosomal RNA", at positions 338 to 795 of the family's 1533-position model. The record is from RNAcentral.